RNAcentral lists this unclassified non-coding RNA (241 nucleotides) under Camptobasidium sp. RNAcentral's name for it is "partial contains 5.8S ribosomal RNA, internal transcribed spacer 2, and large subunit ribosomal RNA". The stretch from base 1 to 52 matches the Rfam family "5.8S ribosomal RNA", at positions 103 to 154 of the family's 154-position model. Lineage: Eukaryota; Fungi; Basidiomycota; Microbotryomycetes; Kriegeriales; Camptobasidiaceae. The record is from RNAcentral.
AACGCACAUUGCGCCCUCUGGUAUUCCGGAGGGCAUGCCUGUUCGAGCGUCAUUACACCACUCAAGCCUCGCUUGGUAUUGGGCGCCGCGGUCGACGCGCGCCUCAAUUUCACCGGCCGAGCACCCGAUCUCAGAGCGUAGAAGCAAAACACUCGCUUUGUAGGGGAGGGGACUCGUGCCGUCAAAACACUUUGUACUCAAGGUUGACCUCGGAUCAGGUAGGGAUACCCGCUGAACUUAA